AUUUUGGACAAUGGGAGCAACCCUGAUCCAGCCAUCCCGCGUGUGCGAUGAAGGCCUUCGGGUUGUAAAGCACUUUUGGCAGGGAAGAAAAGGCUCUUGCUAAUACCUUGAGCUGUUUACGGUACCUUCAUAAUAACCACCGGCUAACUACGUUGCCGCAGCCGAGGUAAUACGUAGGGUGCAAGCGUUAAUCGGAAUUACUGGGCGUAAAGCGUGCGCAGGCGGUUCGGCAAGAAGGAUGUGAAAUCCCAGGGCUUAACCUUGGAACUGCAUUCUUAACUGCCGGGCUAGAGUAUGUCAGAGGGGGGUAGAAUUCCGCGUGUAGCAGUGAAAUGCGUAGAGAUGCGGAGGAAUACCGAUGGCGAAGGCAGCCCCCUGGGAUAAUACUGACGCUCAUGCACGAAAGCGUGGGGAGCAAA
This 419-nucleotide ribosomal RNA is filed under the name uncultured bacterium. Its description in RNAcentral is "partial 16S ribosomal RNA". It matches the Rfam family "Bacterial small subunit ribosomal RNA", at positions 361 to 772 of the family's 1533-position model. The record is from RNAcentral.